GUAGUCCACGCCCUAAACGAUGCGAACUGGAUGUUGGGCUCAACUCGGAGCUCAGUGUCGAAGCUAACGCGUUAAGUUCGCCGCCUGGGGAGUACGGUCGCAAGACUGAAACUCAAAGGAAUUGACGGGGGCCCGCACAAGCGGUGGAGUAUGUGGUUUAAUUCGAUGCAACGCGAAGAACCUUACCUGGCCUUGACAUGUCCGGAAUCCUGCAGAGAUGCGGGAGUGCCUUCGGGAAUCGGAACACAGGUGCUGCAUGGCUGUCGUCAGCUCGUGUCGUGAGAUGUUGGGUUAAGUCCCGCAACGAGCGCAACCCUUGUCCUUAGUUGCCAGCACGUAAUGGUGGGAACUCUAAGGAGACUGCCGGUGACAAACCGGA
This 379-nucleotide ribosomal RNA is filed under the name uncultured bacterium. Its description in RNAcentral is "bacterial SSU rRNA". It matches the Rfam family "Bacterial small subunit ribosomal RNA", at positions 790 to 1167 of the family's 1533-position model. The record is from RNAcentral.